Molecule: ribosomal RNA, 245 nt
Filed under: uncultured bacterium
Lineage: Bacteria
Description: partial 16S ribosomal RNA
Rfam family: Bacterial small subunit ribosomal RNA
Source: RNAcentral
UACGUAGGAGGCGAGCGUUGUCCGGAAUUACUGGGCGUAAAGCGCGCGCAGGCGGGGUGCCUGGUCGGCGGUGAAAGCCCCCGGCUCACCCGGGGGAGUGCCGCCGAGACGGGCGCCCUUGGAGGGCGGUAGGGGCCGGUGGAACGCCCGGAGUAGCGGUGAAAUGCGUUGAGAUCGGGCAGAACACCAGUGGCGAAGGCGGCCGGCUGGGCCGUACCUGACGCUGAGGCGCGAAAGCCAGGGGA